Molecule: ribosomal RNA, 497 nt
Filed under: uncultured bacterium
Lineage: Bacteria
Description: partial 16S ribosomal RNA
Rfam family: Bacterial small subunit ribosomal RNA
Source: RNAcentral
GACGAACGCUGGCGGCGUGCCUAAUACAUGCAAGUCGAACGCUCCGUCGCUCACCUUGCUUCUCUCAUGUUAGCGACGGAGGGGGGCGUAACACGUGGAUAACCUACCUAUAAGACCGCGAUAACUUGGGGUAACCCGAGGUAACAGCGGAUAAUAUUUCGAAACGCUUUGUUCAGAAGGGAAAGACGGUCAUGCUGUCAUUUGGAGAUGGAUCCGCGGUGCAUUAGCUAGUUGGUAAGGUAACGGCUAACCAAGGCCACGAUGCAUAGCCGACCUGAGAGGGUGAUCGGCCACACUGGAACUGAGACACGGUCCAGACUCCUACGGGAGGCAGCAGUAGGGAAUCUUCGGCAAUGGGCGAAAGCCUGACCGAGCAACGCCGCGUGAGUGAUGAAGGUCUUCGGAUCGUAAAACUCUGUUGUUAGGGAAGAACAUAUGUGUAAGUAACUGAACGCAUCUUGACGGUACCUAAUCAGAAAGCCACGGCUAACUACGUG